CAGAUUAGUAGAGUCAUUGAUAUAGCAGAUAAAAAAGGUUUUCUAAUUAAUAUUCUUGGGGUCAAUUGUUCUGAUGUCUAGAGUAGUGUUUACAGUAACUUACAAUUCUAAGACAUCCUGAGGGCAGAAGGACUCUCCCAUUCAAAUACAAAUACUAGA
Molecule: long non-coding RNA, 159 nt
Organism: Bufo bufo (common toad)
Lineage: Eukaryota; Metazoa; Chordata; Amphibia; Anura; Bufonidae
Exons: 3
Source: RefSeq, a predicted model, not a curated record